RNAcentral lists this ribosomal RNA (279 nucleotides) under uncultured bacterium. Its description in RNAcentral is "partial 16S ribosomal RNA". It matches the Rfam family "Bacterial small subunit ribosomal RNA", at positions 506 to 784 of the family's 1533-position model. The record is from RNAcentral.
UGCCAGCCGCCGCGGUAAUACGGAGGGUGCAAGCGUUGCUCGGAAUCACUGGGCGUAAAGCGAGCGCAGGCGGCUAGAUAAGUCAGGUGUGAAAGCCCGGGGCUCAACCCCGGAACUGCAUCUGAAACUGUCUAGCUAGAGUACAGAAGAGGAAGGGGGAAUUCCAGGUGUAGAGGUGAAAUUCGUAGAUAUCUGGAGGAACACUCGUGGCGAAGGCGCCUUUCUGGUCUGUUACUGACGCUCAUGCUCGAAAGCGUGGGGAGCGAACAGGAUUAGAUA